AUGGGGAAGGCGGGGGAAGACACGCAGACAUCAAUUCGACUAAACAAAGUUUAUCAAUAAUAUUAAAAAUAAAAAGUAAAGCCCCUUUCUGAACAUUAUGGCUUAUUCCUUGAUUAUCCUUCUUAAUGCCACAGCGUGGCUAUCUCAGAACAAAAUUAGAGACUAACAGUAAAUUUACUUUAAUUUUUACGAAUAAUUCUCUAUCAAUGUAAAAAUUUUUCAUAUACGCGUGUAUGAAAGAAAAACACUACUAUUUUUCCACAUUCGUGAAAACUGCUUAACUGGGACAGUAACCGAGCGGCCAGUGAAUAUUUAAAAUACUGUAACCGACGAAUACGUAUGCUUCUAGGACCACGUGGAAUCUUUCCCAUGGAAGAACCAACUAAAGCAUGAAUGAAUGAAAGCCUGCACACACCAGGGGCCCGCCUCAACCCUCCUCCUCUCUUGGAAACACGCCUCCUGCGGGAGGCAGCGGGAGGAGGUUCACGCGGCAUGACCGCGCUCUUGUCCUCCCGACGGCCUCGGAAGGUAAGGGGCGACGGGGGCCGGCUGGAAGCUUGGCGGGGCACGUCACCCACUGACCCGGCCACUCACCAGUGCACCAACACCGCACGGCCCUCAGCGCGGGCCUGACCGAUGAAGGCCACGCACCGGUCCAGAUGGCUGAGUAGGUCCGUCUCGGGUUUGUCCAGCGCUGGCACGAAGAGGCGCCAUAGAUCCUCGACCCCAGGCCCCGCCUUGAAGCUGGGCUCCUCCGAGUCCACUGUUAGCACGGCCGUGAUGCCCGCUUCCCUCAGGUGAUCUGGCUCCGCGACGGCCGCGGCCCCACCGAAAUACAAUCCUGGCUGCACUUCCAGCAUCUGCCCGGCACAGCUGACUCUGCUGGCGCUGGGGUUGCUGAGCUCGCAGCCAUCACUCGGGCCCGGAGCCUCCAACAUGGCCGCGCCCAGAGACAAGGCGGCUUCCUGCCCUACCAUCGAGUAGACUCCGGCUAGAACAUCCUUCCCCUGGGACUCGCCAGCCUCGGCGGCUCUGCUGCUCCCUCGGAGGACCACGUCGGCCGCAGGAAUCUGGACUUAUCGCUGAGGGGCGGAGCUUCGGCCCCAUUCAGCGCGGCCUUUCCACCCUUGUUCCCUCUGACCCCUACCCCCAAAGUUGAUGGUGAAGGAUAAGCUUCCCCAAAUACAGGGUUUCUCGAGCUCUUAGUAUUGAAAUUUUCAGGAAAGAGACAUCAGGAGCAGCUGAACUCAAAUGUGAAAUAAAUGUCGCACCAGCUGAAUCAGAAGCA
RNAcentral lists this long non-coding RNA (1288 nucleotides) under Homo sapiens (human). RNAcentral describes it as "ATF6 divergent transcript (ATF6-DT)". Lineage: Eukaryota; Metazoa; Chordata; Mammalia; Primates; Hominidae. The record is from RNAcentral.